UAUAUUUUUAGUAUAAUAAGUAUUAUAAAUUUAGGAUUUAUAGGUAAAAAGUAUAA
RNAcentral lists this transfer RNA (56 nucleotides) under Wuchereria bancrofti. RNAcentral describes it as "tRNA-Leu". Lineage: Eukaryota; Metazoa; Nematoda; Chromadorea; Rhabditida; Onchocercidae. The record is from RNAcentral.